This 983-nucleotide ribosomal RNA is filed under the name anaerobic digester metagenome. Its description in RNAcentral is "bacterial SSU rRNA". It matches the Rfam family "Bacterial small subunit ribosomal RNA", at positions 8 to 955 of the family's 1533-position model. The record is from RNAcentral.
AGAGUUUGAUCCUGGCUCAGGACGAACGCUGGCGGCGUGCUUAACACAUGCAAGUCGAACGGACUGCCCUCAUAACCCUUCGGGGUUUUUGAGGAUCACAGUCAGUGGCGGACGGGUGAGUAACACGUGAACAACCUGCCCUCAGGCCGGAGAUAACCUGGCGAAAGUCGGGCUAAUAUCCGAUUGAGUUAAGGGAUGGCAUCAUCCCUUAAUGAAAGAUGGGGCUAGUAACCAUUACCUGAGGAGGGGUUCGCGCCGGAUUAGUUAGCUGGUAGGGUAAAGGCCUACCAGGACAGCAAUCCGUAGCUGGUCUGAGAGGACGAUCAGCCACACUGGGACUGAGACACGGCCCAGACUCCUACGGGAGGCAGCAGUGGGGAAUAUUCUACAAUGGGGGGAAACCCUGAUAGAGCGACGUCGCGUGAGUGAAGAAGGCCUUCGGGUUGUAAAGCUCUGUCACCGGGGAAGAAGGUAUUUAUGAGGAAAUGCAUAGAUAUUGACGGUACCUGGAGAGGAAGCACUGGCUAACUACGUGCCAGCAGCCGCGGUAAUACGUAGAGUGCAAGCGUUGUCCGGAAUUAUUGGGCGUAAAGGGUACGCAGGCGGCCCUGCAAGUCAAAUGUGAAAGGUCACAGCUUAACUGUGAGAAUGCGUUUGAAACUGUAGGGCUUGAGUACAACAGAGGAGAGCGGAAUUCCUGGUGUAGUGGUGAAAUACGUAGAGAUCAGGAAGAACACCAGUGGCGAAGGCGGCUCUCUGGGUUGAUACUGACGCUCAGGUACGAAAGCUAGGGGAGCGAACGGGAUUAGAUACCCCGGUAGUCCUAGCAGUAAACGAUGGAUACUAGGUGUUGGGGGUUCGAAUCCCUCAGUGCCGCAGUUAACGCAGUAAGUAUCCCGCCUGGGGAUUACGGUCGCAAGACUGAAACUCAAAGGAAUUGACGGGGGCCCGCACAAGCGGUGGAGCAUGUGGUUUAAUUCGAU